AACGCGAAGAACCUUACCUAGACUUGACAUCUCCUGCAUUACCCUUAAUCGGGGAAGCUCCUUCGGGAGCAGGAAGACAGGUGGUGCAUGGUUGUCGUCAGCUCGUGUCGUGAGAUGUUGGGUUAAGUCCCGCAACGAGCGCAACCCCUAUUGUUAGUUGCCAUCAUUCAGUUGGGCACUCUAAUGAGACUGCCGGGGACAACUCGGAGGAAGGUGGGGAUGACGUCAAAUCAUCAUGCCCCUUAUGUUCUGGGCUACACACGUGCUACAAUGGGUAGAACAACGGGAAGCAAGCUAGUGAUAGCAAGCAAACCCCUAAAAAAUACCCUCAGUUCAGAUUGUAGGCUGAAACUCGCCUACAUGAAGUCGGAGUUGCUAGUAAUCGCGAAUCAGCAUGUCGCGGUGAAUACGUUCCCGGGUCUUGUACACACGC
RNAcentral lists this ribosomal RNA (433 nucleotides) under uncultured bacterium. RNAcentral's name for it is "bacterial SSU rRNA". It matches the Rfam family "Bacterial small subunit ribosomal RNA", at positions 958 to 1393 of the family's 1533-position model. The record is from RNAcentral.